Molecule: ribosomal RNA, 424 nt
Filed under: uncultured prokaryote
Description: bacterial SSU rRNA
Rfam family: Bacterial small subunit ribosomal RNA
Source: RNAcentral
UGGGGAAUCUUGGACAAUGGGGGCAACCCUGAUCCCGCCAUGCCGCGUGAGCGACGAAGGCCUUAGGGUUGUAAAGCUCUUUCAGCUGGGAAGAUAAUGACGGUACCAGCAGAAGAAGCCCCGGCAAACUCCGUGGCAGCAGCCGCGGUAAUACGUAGGGGGCUAGCGUUGUUCGGAAUUACUGGGCGUAAAGCGCACGUAGGCGGAUCACUCAGUCAGGGGUGAAAUCCCGGGGCUCAACCCCGGAACUGCCUUUGAUACUGCUGGUCUUGAGGAUGAGAGAGGCGAGUGGAAUUCCGAGUGUAGAGGUGAAAUUCGUAGAUAUUCGGAGGAACACCAGUGGCGAAGGCGGCUCGCUGGCGCAUUUCUGACGCUGAGGUGCGAAAGCGUGGGGAGCAAACAGGAUUAGAUACCCCCGUAGUCC